GCCACUUCUCUCUCUCUUCUCUCUCUCUCUAGCUGGUGGAAACUCUAAAUUACAAGAAGAACGAUUCAAAUUCUCAAGCUGCUUCGCUUAUAAUUCAAGAUGAUGAGCUAAACAAACAAAUCAACCAGGUAUAAUCCACUUUGCUUCUUUUGUUUUCAGGAUUUUGAGUUAAUUGGCGCAGAGUGUUGCUAUGUUAAGAGGAAUUGAACAGAGCAAUAUUACUACUAUGUAUAUUUUUAUUUGUUUAUUUGAUUUAACUUGACACAAAGUUUAAAAUAAUAAAUACUAACACUUUAAAAUUUUGUGGUCUUAAAUUAAACACGCUUAUUGUCAUGGACGGAGCAAAAUUGAAGGGGGAAUUGGAAAAAUGGAUGGGGAAGAUUGAUUGCUUAGUGGGUUAGCUUUGUACUUGUAAAGUAGUUAAGUAUGAAGUAGUAGAUAGAUGAACAUUCAAGUAUACGUGUAAAUUUGAGACAAGUCUUCCUUUUUUUUUUUUUCUAAUUUAGAAUUUCAAGAAUAUGAUAAGGAAGGUAUUGCUGGUUAAUGACCCUUCUCAAAUUAUUUACUAAUAGUAGUAGUAUUUUCUUUUUUUCUCAAAGAAAAUGAUUGGUAAAGCUGAAAAGAUGAAUUAUUAGAGAUCCCGAUUAGUUGGACUCCCGUUGAAUAGUAUUCGUGUACUCGAUUUAAAAGUGGGAUAAUUGUUGCAUCUUAGUUAGGACACCAGUGUUUGGUGACUCGCUCUUGUUAUUCAUUUCUUUAUAUGGACCGAGAAGUCCACAUUAUCAUAAUGAUCUUUUGAUAACACGUUAUUUCCAAAUUGUAUACUGACAGUAGUGUUACUAUAUGCCCUUAUGGGUACUCUACAGAGACUUGUGAAGGAACUAUUUACGCUUACGCAGAGUAUAGUUAUCAUGUUGAUAGAUUGAGCUAAUCAAAGAUUGAAUUUUCUCCCUCUUUAGAAGCUUUAAAGAUGGUAACGCUGAAAAUAAUUUCUAUGGAGGACAUAGUUACAUGAACUAUAGUUGACAUGUGUAAACAUGGUCUUAUGCAUGAGUGGUUCAUUGUGCUGAUAGUAGCACAAGAAUUUUGGUAGAGAUGAUCUUUACUUAGUUUUUCCAGUUCAGCCGUUUUGGCUUUUGUCUUGUGAGCUGAUGUUUGCUGGAUACUUUGCAAAGUAAAAUUCAAUCUUUGCUCGUUUGUUUGCGUUAAUCCUCUGCUUGACUGGUUGUGUCACUAUAAUAGUGGCUUAUAGGCCAUCAUGCAUCUCUUUUGCAUGUGUUCAUAUGUUAUGUUGCUCGAACUUUUCAAAUAUUAUAGUGGGUGCUUGUAGAAUUCUCCGAAAGUAGUGCAUUUUUUAGGAUUCGACAUAGUACCUUCUCUUAUUCGGAUGACUUGAGCUUAUCUUGGUAGUACAGUUAAGUAACUGUUAAAAGAACCUAAGUUGUUCUCUUUACACUAAAUAAAGUGAUAUAUUAUUGAUGUUAACCUUUUUCUUUAUUUGUGAUAUAAUAUUUCCAUCAUCAUGUUUUAUGAACAGGUUGGGUUGUUAUUUCUUGAAAAAAGUUGGUUUUUAUUUUUCGAUGAUCGCUUGCCUCUUUCUCGUCAACUUAGGCCAAACAAAGGUUAGUUUAUUUCUCUCUAUUUACUUAGAGUGAAGUCUUUAAAUGUAAUGUUAUGGAGGGAUUCUUUGUCGUAGAAGGCUUUUAAAGCCAUAGGUUUUGUGAUGAUUAUAUGGUGUGAGAGGGACAAGCGACGCCUCUACUUAGUACCUUUAUUAAAUUUAUUAAAUUAUUUGACUUGUAUUACAACUGAGAAUGUGAACUAGUGAUUAGAAAAUGGUUAAAUGUGGUGACUUGAAAUAAUAAACUUAUAACUUGAAAAUUGUUACGUGUACUUACUUGAAAUUUUGAACUUGUGACUAAAAAAUGGUUGUGUAGUCACUUGAUAUGUGAAGUUAUGAUUUGAAAAUGAUUAGGUAUACUUACUUGAAAUUGUUAACUUGUGACUUUAAAAUGGUUAAAUGGCUACUUGAAAUUGUGAACUUGUGACUUAAAAAUGGUUAAAUAUAGCUACUUGAAAUGUGAAGUUAAUGACUUGAAAAUGCAUAAGUGUAGUUACUUGAAAUUGUGAACUUGUGAGUUGAAAAUGGUUAAGUGUAGCUACUUGAAAUUGUGAACUUGUGACUUGAAAAUGGUUUAGUUACUUGAAAUUGUAAACUCGUGACUAGAAAAUAGUUAAGUGUAGCUACUUGAAAUUGUGACCUUGUGACUUGAAAAUGGUUAAGCGUAGCUACUUAAAAUGUGAAGUUAAUGAUUUAAAAAUGAUUAAGUAUAGUUAGUUACUUGAAAUUGUGAACUUGUGACUUUAAAAUGGAUAAGUGUAGCUACUUGAAAUAUGAAGUUAAUAACUUGAAAAUGUUUAAGUGUAGUUACUUGAAAUUGUGACCUUGUGACUUGAAAAUGGUUUAGUGUAACUACUUGAAAUUGUGAACUUGUGACUUGAAAAUGGUUAAGGGUAGCUACUUGAAAUGUGAUGUUAAUAACUAGAAAAUGGUUAAGUGUACUGAAGUCAAUGACUUGAAAAUGCUUAAGUGUAGUUACUUGAAAUUGUGACCUUGUGACUUGAAAAUGCUCAAGUGUAGUUACUUGAAAUUAUGAACUUGUGACUUGAAAAUGGUUAAGUGUAGCUACUUGAAAUAAGAAGUUAAUGACUUGAAAAUGCUUAAGGGUAGUUACUUGAAAUUGUGACCUUGUGACUUGAAAAUGAUUAAGUGUAGCUACUUGAAAUAUGAAGUUAACGACUUGAAAAUCCUUAAGUGUAGUUACUUAAAAUUGUGAACUUAUGACUUGAAAAUGCUUAAGUGUAGCUACUUGAAAUGUGAAGUUAACAACUUGAAAAUGCUCAAGUGUAGUUAAUUGAAAUUGUGAACUUGUGACUUGAAAAUGGUUAAGUUGUAGCUACUUGAAAUGUGAAGUUAAUGACUUGAAAAUGCUCAAGUGUGUUACUUGAAAUUGUGAACUUGUGACUUGAAAAUGGUUAAGUAUAGCUAUUUGAAAUAUGAAGUUAAUGACUUGAAAAUGCUUAAGGGUAGUUACUUGAAAUUGUGACCUGGUGACUUGAAAAUGGUUAAGUGUAGCUACUUGAAAUAUGAAGUUAACAACUUGAAAAUGCUUAAGUGUAGUUACUUGAAAUUGUGAACUUGUAACUUGAAAAUGCUUAAGUAUAGUUAUUUGAAAUGUGAAGCUAAUGAGUUGAAAAUGCUUAAGUGUAGUUACUUAAAAUUGUGAAGUUGUGACAUAAAAAUGGUUAAGUGUAGCUACUUGAAAUGUGAAGUUAAUGAGUUGAAAAUGCUUAAGUGUAGUUACUUGAAAUUGUGAACUUGUGACUUGAAAAAGCUUAAGUGUAGUUAGUUGAAAUUGUGACUUUGUGACUUAAAAAUGGUUAAGUGUAGCUACUUGAAAUGUGAAGUUAAUGAGUUGAAAAGUCUUAAGUGUAGUUACUUGAAAUUGUGAACUUGUGACUUAAAAAUGGUUAAGUGUAGCUACUUGAAAUGUGAAGUUAAUGACUUGAAAAUGCUCAAGUGUAGUUACUUGAAAUUGUGAACUUGUAACUUGAAAAUGCUUAAGUGUAGCUACUUGAAAUGUGAAUUUAAUGACUUGAAAAUGCUCAAGUGUAGCUACUUGAAAUAUGAAGUUAAUGACUUGAAAAUGUUAAGGGUAGUUACUUGAAAUUGUGACCUUGUGACUUGAAAAUGGUUAAGUGUAGCAACUUCAAAUAUGAAGUUAACGACUUAAAAAUGCUUAAGUAUAGUUACUUGAAAUUGUGAACUUGUGACUUAAAAAUGCUUAAGUGUAGCUACAUGAAAUGUGAAGUUAAUGACUUGAAAAUGCUUAAUUGUAUCUUCUUGAAAAUGAUUUAAGUGUAUUCACUUGAAGUGUGAACUAAUGACUUGAUUUUUAUAUGUUUUAAUGUAAACUUGCAUAUUAUUAAAUAUCUAUAUUUUGUAGAUGGAUCAUCAUUUGUGGAUGUAUGAUAUGAAUUAUGAAAAUGUUGGUGGUUUAAAACCCCAAUAUCUUGAUGGCGUUAGAGGUUUUAUCAAUCAUGCAAUGUCACUAGAUCUAUUUCAAAAAAAUGGAGUGGUUAGGUGUCCUUCCAGUUUAUGUAGGUGUUUGAGGUUUUUUUAACCAGAUAUAGUUAUGACUCAUCUCUAUCGUAAUGGAUUUAAGCCAAGAUACUUUGUGUGAGUCGAUCAUGGAAAGAGAUGGUUUGAAUGGUAUAUUUUAUAAUUCAUUGCCUGUGGAUAAAUAUGACAUACUUGUACAUGGUCGACAUGCUAGGAUUCAACAUGCUAAAGUUCAACAUAGGGUACAACACAAUAGGGUACAACAUGAGGAUAGGAUUCAUGAAAUGGUCUAUGAUGCUUUUGGUAUUGGGGAUGGAAUGGAACCCGAACAAAAUUUAGAAGAAGAUCCCAAUGAAGAAGCAAGAGAUUUUUAUCAUUAAUUAGAAGAGGCUAGUCGCCCACUAUGUGAAGGGAGUCUGCAUUCUGCUUUAUCUGUUGCAAUUAGAUUACUGAGUAUCAAAUCUGAUUGGAAUGUUGCUCAAGCUGCUAUGGACUCUAUAGUUGGUCUUUUGGUUGAACUAGUAAAUCCGGAGUUGAACAUACCUCAUAAUUUUUAUCAAGAAAAGAAAUUAUUUUCUAAGUUGGGAUUGUCAUAUAAUAGAAUCCAUUGUUGUAUAAAUGGUUGUAUGUUGUUCUAUAAGAAUAAUGCUGAAUUAGAAAAUUGCAAGUUUUGUGGACAUGCUCAUUGUAAGCGGACUCCUGGUGGAAAGAUGGUUUUGAUUAAGGUGAUGCACUAUUUACCUCUUAUACCUAGGCUAAAAAGGUUGUAUGCUUCGAUGAGUUCUGCCCCACACAUGAAAUGGCACCAUGAAAAUAAAAGGCCACCAGGUGUCUUGUCUCAUCCAUCAGAUGGAGAAUCUUGAAAGCACUUUGAUAGAACUUAUCCUGAUUUUGCUAGUGAACCAAGAGUUGGACUGGGGUUGUGUGCAGAUGGUUUUACACCAUUCUCUAAUUCUGGCACACCUUAUUCUUGUUGGCUUGUAUUUAUUACUCCAUAUAAUCCCCCACCUGAAUGUUCAUGAUAAGUCCCUACAUAUUUUUAAGUUGUAUUAUUUCAGGUCCCCGCAAUCCAAAAAGUUUGAUUGAUGUAUAUCUCCAUCCAUUGAUAGAUGAGUUACUAUAAUUAUGGCAUGAAGGUGUUGUGACAUAUGAUAUAUCAAGUAAGCAGAAUUUUGUUAUGAGUGCCAAUUUAAUGUGGACUAUUAGCGAUUUUCCUGCAUAUGGGAUGCUGUCUGGUUGGAUGACUGCUGAAAAGUAACGAUGUAUAUCUCCAUCCAUUGAUAGAUGAGUUACUACAAUUAUGGCAUGAAGGUGUUGUGACAUAUGAUAUAUUAAGUAAGCAAAAUUUUGUUAUACGUGUCAAUUUAAUGUGGACUAUUAGCGAUUUUCCUGUAUAUGGGAUGUUGUUUGAUUGGAUGACUACUGAAAAGUUAGCUUGCCCAUAUUGAAUGGAAAAUAGUAAAGCAUUCACUUUAAAGUAUGGUCGAAAAAAUUCUUGGUUUCAUUGUCACCGCCAGUUCUUACUAAUGGACCAUGAGUUUAGAAGGAUGAAAAAUGCGUUCUGAAAGAAUAAGAUUGAGAAUGAUCUGCCCCCUCCAUUACUGUCAGGACAUCGUAUUUGGGAGAGAUUUUGUAAUUUGCCUAAAGUUAUAGAUGGUCCACUUUCUAGACUUCCUGAAUAUGGUGUUGAACAUAAUUGGACCAAACAAAGCAUAUUUUGGGAGUUGUCGUUUUUGGGGACAAUAAACUAAGACAUAAUCUUGAUCCGAUGCACAUUGAAAAAAAUUAUUUUGAUAAUUUAUUCAACACAGUCAUGGAUGUUAAGGGCAAGACAAAAUAUAAUUCAAAAGCUAAAAUGGAUAUAAAGAAGUAAUACAAGAGAAAGAAAUUGUGGUUGAAGGAAAAAGAAAAUGGUAAAUUGUUUAAGCCCAAGGCGAGUUUUUCAUUCACAUUACAUGAGAAACGGGAAAUAUGUGAGUGGGUUAAGAAUUUGAGGAUGCCCGAGGGCUAUGCUUCGAAUUUAGAAAAAUGAGCGGAUAUGGAAAAGAGAAGUUGAUUGGUAUGAAAAGCCAUGAUUGUCAUGUUUUUAUGGAAACCUUGAUUCCUAUCGCAUUUAGCCACCUUCUUGAGAGGAUAUGGAAACCAAUCACAAAAAUAAGUUUGUUCUUCAAAGAUUUGUGUUCGGGAAAGUUGUUGGAGAGUAGUUUGGAUAGAAUAGAGCAGAAUAUUCAUGUCAUCGCUACUAAGCUGGAAAAGAUCUUUCCAUGUGGAUUUUUUUAUGUGAUGAAGCAUCUUCCAAUUCACCUCAUGGAAGAGGCACGCGUAAUGCCCCAAAUCUGGUACCCAGAAUGUUACACGGUACUCAUGACCCCAAAGGACCACAAGGUAACCCAUGACUGAUAUUUAUACCUGUAUACUGCAUAAAAUACUUUAUAAUGCGGAAACAUGAACAGAAAGGCCAUAAGGUUCAAAACUGAGACAUAGUAUCUGAUAAAAAUGUAACAUCAUCGAGGGGUAUGAAAUACCCAAAACAACUGAAAUAAGCUAUCUAAACAUACUGUGGUCUGAAAAACCUCUAAAAUGUGACUGUCUAAAUAAGGAGUUGAUGGGACAUGUCCCCAACUAGCUCCAACUAAUAAACUAAAUACUGAGAUAAUAAAAUAAUGAUCAUGUCCUCGAAAUAUGAGGACUCACUGCUAACUCUGACAGCUGAGACUGGAAUCUACUGAUACUCUGGAGCUCGUGUCUCCAAACCUAUAGUAUAAGACAUCAUAGCGCAAAUGCGUCAGUACUUUGAAUGUACUGGUAUAUAUAUAAUGUAGGUUGAAUACAUGGGGUUCAUAUGCAUGAACAAUAACAAUAGCAGACUGACUAUCAUGAGCGCGAGAAUACAUGCAUGAGACAUAAUAACUGACACUGAUAUUAUGAUAACAAGAUUACUGAAUCUGAAUACUGAUAACAUGACAUACUGAUAACUGAUAUAACUAAUAACAUAAGUGACUGUAUCUGAUAGUCCUAAAUCUAAUGGAACUAACUCAGUCCUGUACUGUAUCUGAGUUGACUGUAUCUGGCAAUCCUAAAAUCUGAAGAACUAUCUGAGUUUUAUUACUGAGGCUGAUUGACUGUGUUUGACAGUCCAAAUUCUGUAACAUAGAACUAUGGGAAGUAUUAAUCUAACCAACAUGUACCUAAUAUGCCAUUAUGGCUGAGUUGGGGUCCAAUCUGUAACCCCAAUUGAAAGGGUGUCAAUACCGCACCACUGGUAAGGACAAGCUGUGAGUGACCCUCAUAUGAAUAGUGUCCCCAAAAGAGAACGGUGGGGCCCUUAGUUAACAGUGCUUAUCCACAUCAUCAACCCUAAUCGGAAAGUGUUGAUAUCUCAACCUAUGCUGGUUACAUAGUUCUGAAAUGCAAGGAUAACUUCUAAGAAUCAUACCCUCAUCUGAUAGUGUGUGCUCCCAUCCUUGACUUCACUCGGUGCUAAUUUCUACUCCCAUCUGAAUAGACUCUAAACAUGAUUUACUGAACUGAACAUAGACUGAGUUACUGAAUUCUGUUGAGUAACGAAAUACUACUGAUAUCUGACAUAGCUUGACUGAGAGUAUCGUGAAAACAUGACAUGGCUCUAGGCACACAACUAAUGUUUUGGGUACGAGUACCCCCAGGACUCGAUGGAAGGAAACUGACCAAGCAUAACUUACUUGAACAUAUAACUAACAUCAUAAUCCAUAAUACAUAUAUAGAAGCAUUCCAUCAAAACAUGUGAUAGGCAUAACUUGUACAUACAUGGGGAUUUCAUGGUAUUAUGCUAGUUAGGCACUUUUCCUUCAUCUAGGCAUUUAAUCAAACAUAUUGUAGGCAUGAUACAUGUAAACAUCAUUGUAAAAUAAUUAAACAUCAUGGUUCAAUUCUAAUUUCAUCAUUCAAGGAUUUAGUCAUAGGUUUGCAUAAAUCUAUAUCUAUAAUAAUUUAACCCACAUAGAAUUUAUCACCCAACAUGGAGUAGAAUUCAAUUUCUUAUUUAUCCACAUGAACAAGAACAGGCCAAUCAUGAAAUUCAUAAGAAAAUCUAUAAACUUGAAUUUAGAAAAGGGAUUUUUGAGCUUCGUGUAUGAAAGGAGUCCAUGAAUGAAUAAUUGCAUACCUUGGUUCGUAAAUACACGAAGAUUGACGGAGGAAAUUCUUGAUUCUAAAUCUUCUAUGUAAAGUCCUAGGUUGUUCUUGAGAGGUUUUUGAGAUAAGAGAGAGUAUUUUGGGAGAAAAAUGUCUGAAUCACGUGUUAAAGAGCUUAAAUAGGGGUGGGAAAUUGACCCUUUUAACCCUGUACGUGUCUUGUAAUUUCAGUAAAAAUUUUCUGAAUUGGACCCCUGGUGCGAUGCGGCGCUAUCGCUCCGUGUCACUGGAAUUUGACAAUUGGGAAACUGAAGGAUGGCGCGACACGGAGCCAUCGCGUUGCCCCUUCUUUUGCAACCUACAACUUUGGCGCGAUGCAAAGUAAAUCAUGCUUAGACACUGGAAAAGGACAAUUGCCAAAAUUUAAUAAGCCACUGACCAAUAUGGCGUUGUUUUACGAUGAAAACUUGAAAUAGUCAUUUCUUAUCCGGUUAUCAGAUUUAGUCAAAUUUUAUAGUGAUGGGAAGCUUAUUAAAUUUUUCACAUGACAAAAAGUGAAAAUAUUAAAAAUACCACAUUUAAAAAGAUGGAUUCAUCUUUCAAAGAAAUCUCCUAACAUUUUUUAGACAAUUUUAAGCUAGGAAAAGGUACGGGGUAUUACAAUAUCUCCACCUUAAGAACAUCCAUCCUCGAAUGAAACUAAGAGUGAGGGGAAGAACAUAAACUGACAUACAUACUGAACAUGAAUAACUAAAAUAUGAUCUCAUGACUUACAUGACUGAUAACUGAAUACAUUAUACUGGACACGCAUACCUGAUGCAUAUGUAACUGAUUCAUAAAUGCAUGAUUGAGUGUUCUGAGGAACUAAGUUUCUCACUAUGAGAAUGCAUGUCUGAUGCAAAAUUAUAUAACUGAACGGAUACAUGAAUGCAUGACUGAAUAUACAGUGGUACUUGAUACCAAGUUUGUGAUUAACACUGAACAUAAAACUGAGUAAGCUUAAGGAGGACUAUUACGUUGAGCUUGAUCUGAGUUGGUGGAGAAGAGGUGAGGAUACUUAGUAUGUAAGUCUGCUUCUGUUUCCCAAGUAGCUCCCUCGACAGACUAAUUUCUCUAAAGAACUUUAACUAGAGGGACUUCUUUGUUCCUCAGUCUGAUAGUCUAGGAUUUUGACUGGAAUCUCCUUAUAAGAGAGACUGUUCUGAACAUCAAUGCUCUGAAUAGGGACUAUAACUGUUGGGUUACCUAUGCACUUCUUGAUCAAAGAGACGUGGAAGACUAGAUGAACUGAGGCUAGAUCUGAUGGCAAUUCGAUCUCAUAAGCUACCUUGUCAAAUCGACUGAGAAUCUUGAAGGGACCGAUAUAUCGGCGACUGAGUUUUCCUUUCUUGCCGAACUGCUUCACUCCCUUCAUGGGAGAGAUCUUUAGAUAGACAUAGUCACCAAUCUUAAACUCAAGAUCUUUUUUACGAACAUCUGCAUAAGACUUGUGUCGGCUCUGAGCAGUCCGAAGUCUUUCUCUAAUCAAUUGGACUUUUUCUAAGGCAUUAAAUACUAAGUCAGGCCCUAUGAUUGAGGCCUCACUAACUUCAAACCAACCGAUCAAAGAUCUAUAUCUCCUACCAUAGAGAGCUUUGAAUGAGCCAUCCGAAUACUAGAACGAUAGUUGUUGUUGUAUGCAAACUCAAUCAAAGGCAAGUGGUCAUCCUAACUACCCUUGAAAUUAAUUGCACACACCCGUAGCAUAUCUUCUAAAGUUUGAAUGGUCCUUUCUACUUGACCAUCUUUAGAUGAAAAGUUGUACUGAGAUAAACUUAGGUACCAAGACCCUUUUGGAAUACUUUCCAGAAGUGAGAGGUGAACUGGGUACCUCUAUUUGAGAUAAUAGAUAAUGGAAUGCCGUGUAAUCUGACCAACUCCCUAAUAUAGAGUCUGGAAUAAUCCUCGGUUGAAUAAGAGGUAUGAACUGGAAGGAAAUGGGUUGAUUUGGUCAUCCUGUCUAUAAUGAGCCAAACUAAAUCAUGUUGAUGAUGAGUUCGAGGCAAACCUAUCACGAAGUCCAUGUUCACUUCUUCCCACUUCCAAGUAGAAAUAAUGAACUCUUGUACAGGACCACUAGGCUUCUGAUGCUCUAUCUUAACCUGAUGACAUGUAGAGCACUUAUCAAUAAACUCUACAAUAUCUCUCUUUAUCCCACUCCACCAAUAGAUUUCCCGCAAGUCGUGGUACAUCUUUGUGACCCCUGGAUGAAUAGAGUAGUGUGCACCGUGCGCUUCUGCAAGAAUUUGCUGCCUUAAGUCAUCUACACCUGGAACAUAGAGAUGACCCUGACAAUGCAAAAUACUAUCUCCUCCUUAGGAGAAAACCUCUACUUUCUGACCCUUGACUGACUCCAUAAACUUAACAAAGUUGGGAUCUCUAUCUUGCUUUUCUUUUACCUCGAAAACUAGAGAUGAUUCUGAACUACUCUGAACCCAUAUAUCACCCUCAUCUAUAUCGACUAAGCAAACGCCUAGUCUGGCAAGCUGAUGUAGUUUCUGAUCUAACUUCUUCUUACUGUCAUCCACAUGAGAAACACUACCCAUAGACAGUCUACUGAGAGCGUUGGCUACUACAUUGGCCUUGCCCGGAGAAUAGAAGACACUCAUGUCAUAAUCUUUCAAGAGCUCUAACCACCUUCUCUGACGAAGAUUGAGAUCUUUCUAAGAGUAAACUUAGUGAAGACUCUUAUGAUCUGUGAACAUAUCUACAUAAACACCGUAUAGAUAAUUCCUUUAAAUCUUCAAGGCAAAGACUAGGACUACUAACUCAAGAUCAUGAGUAGGAUAAUUCUUCUUAUGGGGUUUAAGCUGUCUGGAGACGUAGGCUAUGACCUUACCAUGAUACAUGAGGACACAACCUAAACCAACUCUGGAUGCAUCACAGUAUACUACGAACCCAUCUGGACCAUCUGGAAGAGCUAAAACUAGAGCUAAGGUGAGUUGAGUCUUCAACUCCUAAAAACUCUUCUCGCAAGGAUCUGACCACUGAAACUUGACUUUUUUCUGAGUCAAUCUAAACAUAGGGGAUGCAAUAGAAGAAAAUUCCUCAACAAACCAUCUGUCAUAGCCAGCCAAACUAAAGAAACUCUUGAUAUCUGAUAAAGAGACAGGGCAAGGCCAGUUUCUUACUGCUUUGGUCUUUUGAGGAUCUACUAUAAUGCCAUCACCCAAAAUUAUAUGACCAAGAAAUUCUACUGACCUUAGCCAAAAUUCACACUUACUAAAUUUGGCAAACAACUGAUGAUUUUUAAGAGUCUGAAGUACGUUCUGAGAUAGCCUGUAUGAUCUCACACACUACGGGAAUAGACUAAAAUAUCAUCUUUAAAGACUAUGAUGAACAUAUCCAAGUACCGUUUGAACACGUGGUUCAUCAAGUCCAUAAAAGCAGUUGGGGCAUUGGUAAGACCAAAUGACAUGACUAGGAAUUCAAAGUGACCAUACUGAGUAUAGAAAGCUAUUUUUGGAAUUUCACAUUCUCUGACUCUGAGCUGAUGAUAGCCGAAUCUGAGGUCUAUCUUAGAGAAAUAACUGGCACCCUGAAGUUGGUCAAAUAAGUCAUCGAUUCUGGGAAGUAGAUAUUUGUUCUUGACCAUGACCUUAUUAAGACUAGUGUACCCCUCGAGGAAACACUGGGCUCGAUGAAUCCCUUAUCUAGGAGAUCCUUCAACUAUUCUUUUAAUUCUCUGAGUUUUUCUGGAGCCAUUCUGUAUGGCGGAAUAGAGAUAGGCUGAGUAUCUAAAAGAAGAUCAAUGUCAAAGUCUAUUUCCAUUUCGAGAGGAAUUACUAGAAGAUCUUUGGGAAAGACAUCUGAAUAUUUAUUCAUAACUGGAAUGGAUUUAAGACUGGGAGUUUCAGAACUGUAAUCCUUAACAUGAACAAGAUGAUAGACAUAUCCCUUAGAUAUUAUUUUUCUUAUUCGAAGGUAGGAAAUAAGCUGACCUCUAAACGUUGAAGUACUACCCUUCCACUCAAGGAUGGGUUUAUUUGGGAACUAAAAUUGGACUAUUCUAUUUCUACAGUCAAAUAUGGCCUAGCAGGAGUGAAGCCAAUCCAUGUCGAGAAUGACAUCAAAAUCAGUCAUCUCUAAUUCGACUAAGUCUACUGAAGUGACUUUCUGAAAUAUCAUAACCGGGCAGUUCCUGUAUACCCGCCGGGCUAUGAUGGUUUUACCCAUUAGGGUAGAGACUGAAAAGGGAUCUUCUAGAAUUUUGGGACUGACUCUGAAAUCAACUGCUAUAUAGGGAGUAACAAAAGACAAGGAAGCACCUGGAUCUAGCAAAGCGUAAACAUGCACAUGAAAGAUCUGUAACAUACCAGUAACCACAUCAGGAGAAUUUUCUUGAUCUUGCUGGGACUGGAUAGCAUAGAUUCUAUUUGGGCGUUUUCCACUAGUAGCACUGAUAGUGGCACCCUGCUGAUUUGGGUGAUCAAAGUACUAAGCUUAGGAGCGGAGAUGACUCUGAUAACCUGACUGAGGGUAGUCUCUGACUCUGUGGCCUGGCUUGCCACAAAUAAAACAGACAUCACUGUCAUCUCUGCAUACACCCUUGUGGUUCUUACCAUAAGUCUGACAAAAGAGAUUAGUUCGGGCACUGCUAACACUGCCCUAAGACUUAGAGUCUAGUGCUCUAUCUUUGUUACCCUCUCUGAACUUAGGAAAUGGAACACUGGAUGAUGAAAGAGUUAGAACUGAUGACUUAGGAUGAAUCUGAGAGCGAUUUCCUCCCUCUAACUUAGGCUGACUAAAAUUAAAGCUACCUGUCCUAGCUCUCUUAUUUUGCUUCUCCUUCUACUUAAUCUUUUACUCCUCUAUCUUCUGAGCAUGAGUCAUGAGCCUGGCUAAAGUUAUGUCACUAUUUAAUAUGGUAGAUUUGCACUCAUUAACCACGCUAUCAUUCACCCCUAAAAUGAACUUACUCAUUUUGGCCCUGCUAUCUGCAACCAUAUGAGAGGCAUAUCUGUCUAAUUGAGUAAACUUAAGAGAAUACUCUUUCACUAUCAUAUUGUCCUGCCUAAGAUUGAUGAAUUCUAACACCUUAGCUUCUCUAAUCUCUAGGGGAAAGAAUCUAUCAAGGAAAGCAGAAGCAAACUCCUCUCACUCAACAGUCCCUACAUCAUCUGGCCUUUCUGACUUCCACUAUUUAAACCAAGUGUGAGCAACAUCCUGUAACUAAUAUGCAUCUAGCUCAACACUCUCACUAGAACUAACCCCCAUUAUGUCUAUAACCUUCUACACCUGAUCUAAGAAUUCCUGAGGUUCUUCAUUUAACUUAGACCAGAGAAACGAUAGAGGGUUCAUUCGGGUGAAGUCUUAAAUUCUGGCUGCAGCUGAAUUGGCCACUGGAUUGGUCGGAAUAACAGCUAGUCUUUCAUUCUAAGCAAAAACUAAGUUAGCAAGAGUAUUAAAUACAGCUUAAAACUCUGCAUGAGAAAUAUGUUCGCCCAAAGGUUCUUCGGGCUGAGGGUCUGGCUAAUUCUUAUUUCUUCUUUUAAGAGGCAUAUUCUGUAGAAGAAAGGAAAAAAUGGAUUAGACUGAGAGAUUGACUUGAGAUUAUGCUCACUAGCACAACAUAAAUACUGAAAGAGGGGAAACUACUCCUAAAACAUCUUAUAGCCUCCUGUACAUAAAUGUGACGCGCAACACACCCAUGUACGAAACUCUACUAGAUGCGGCUUUCAGAUUUCCUAGGACUCUAUUGAACUUUAGGCUCUGAUACUAAGUUUGUAAAGCCCCAAAUAUAGUACCCAGAAUGCUACACGGUGCUCAUGACCCCGAAGGACCACAAGCUAACCCAUGACUGAUAUUUGUAUCUGUAUACUGCAUAAAAUAUUUUAUAAUGCAGAAACAUAAAUUGAAAGGACAUAAGGUGACAUAGUAUCUGAUAAAAAUGUAACAUCAGGAAAAUGUAUGAAAUACCCAAAACAACUGAAAUAAGCUAUCUAAACAUACUAUAGUCUAGAAAGCCUCUAAAAUAUGACUGUCUGAAUAAGGAGUUGAUGGGGCAUAUCCCCAAAUAAUAAACUAAUUACUGAGAUAAUAAAAUGAUGAUUAUGUCCUCGAAAAAUGAGGACUUAUGGCUAACUCUGACAGCUGAGACUGGAAUCUACGGAUGCUCUGAAGCUCGUGUCUCUGAACCUAUGGUAUAAGACAUUAUAGCGCAAAUACGUUAGUACUUUGAAUGUACUGAUAUGCAUGUGAGGUAAGCUGAAUACGAGGGGUUCAUAUGCAUGAACAAUAAAAAUAGCAGACUGACUAUCAUGAGCGUGAGAAUACAUGCAUAAGGCAUAAUAACUGAUACUGAUACCGUGAUAACAUGAUUACUGAAUCUGAAUACUGAUAAUAUGACAUACUAAUAGCUGAUAUAACUGAUAACAUGAGUGGCUGUAUCUGACAGUCCUGAAUUUAAUGGAACUAGCUGAGUCCCAUACUGUAUCUGAGUUGACUGUAUCUGACAGUCCUAAAAUUUGAAGAACUAUCUGAGUUCUAUUAUUGAGGCUGAUUGACUAUGUCUGACAGUCCUGAUUCUGUAACAUAAAACUAUAAGAAGUAGUUAUCUAACCGACAUUCCCCUAAUAUGCCAUUAUGGAUAAGUUAAGGUCCAAUCUGUAACCCCAACUGAAAGGGUGUCAAUACCACACCACUAGUAAGGACAAGCUGUGGGUGACCCUCAUCAGAAUAAUGUCCCCAAAAAAGAACGGUGGGGCCCUUAUCUGAUAGUUCUUAUCUACCUCAUCAACUCUCAUCGAACAGUAUUGAUAUCUCAACCUAUGUUGGCUACAUAGUUCUGAAAUACAAGGAUGACUUCUAUGAAUCACACCCUCAUCUGAUAGUGUGUGUUCCCAUCCUUGGGUUCACUCGGUGCUAAUUCCUACUCCCAUUUGAAUAGACUCUGAACAUAAUUUACUGAACUGAUGGAAUACUACUGAUAUCUGAUAACUGACUGAGUUUAUGAGAUUAUGGAGAUUUCCUGAGUUAUAAGACUUCUUGAAGUUUAAGGAUUCAUAGCUUGACUGAGAGUAUCGUGAAAACAUGACAUGGCUCUAGGCACACAGUUAAUGUUUCAGGUACGAGUACCCCCAGGACCCAAUGGAAGAAAACUAACCAAGCAUAACUUACUUGAACCUAUAACUAACGUCAUAAUCCAUAAUACAUUUAUAGAAGUGUUUCAUCAAAACAUGUGAUAGGCAUAACUUGUACAUACAUGGGGAUUUCAUGGUAUUAUGCUAGUUAAGCAUUUUUCCUUCAUCUAGGCAUUUAAUCAAACAUAUUGUAGGCAUGGUACAUAUAAACAUCAUUGUACAAUAAUUAAACAUCAUGGUUCAAUUCUAAUUUCAUCAUUCAAGGGUUUAGUCAUAGGUUUGCAUAAAUCUAUAUCUAUAAUAAUUUAACCCACAUAGAAUUUAUCACCCAACAUGGAGUAGAAUUCAAUUUCUUAUUUAUCCACAUGAACAAGAGCAGCCCAAUCAUGAAAGUCAUAAGAAAAUCUAUAAACUUGAAUUUAGAAAAGGGAUUCUUGAGCUUCAUGGACAAAAGAAGUCUGUGAAUGAACACUAUGCAUACCUUGGUUCAUAAAUACACUAAGAUUGACGGAGGAAAUUCUUGAUUCUGAAUCUUCUAUGAAAAGUCCUAGGUUGUUCUUGAGAGGUUUUUGAUAGAAGAGAGAGUAUUUUAGGUGAAAAGUAACCGAAUCAUGUGUUAAAGGGCAUAAAUAGAGGUGGGAAAUUGACUUUUUUAACCUUGAACGUGUCUUGUAAUUUUAGUACAAAUUACUCGAAUUGGACCCUUGGCGCGACGCGGUGCUAUCGCACCGUGUCACUGGAAUUUGACAAUUGGGAAACUGAGGGAUGGAGUGACACGGAGCCAUAGCAUUGCCCCUUCUUUUGUAACCUGAAACUUUGGCGUGAUGCAGAGGAAAUCGCAUUGAGACACUGGAAAAGGACAAUUGUCAUCACUGAUCAAUAUGACGUUGUUUUACGACGGGAACUUAAAAUAGUCAUAACUUUUUACCCGGUUAUCAGAUUUAGGCGAAUUUUAUAUCGAUGGAAAGCUUAUUGAAUCUUUCACAUGACAAAAGUCUUUAAAAUACCACAUGUACAAAAGUAGAUUCAUCUUUCAAAGAAAGCUCCUAAUAUUUUUUAAACGAUUUCAAGCUAGGAAAAGGUACGGGGUAUUACAACACAUCUUAGAGGGCCAGUUCAAAUGAGGUGGAUGUAUCUAGAAGAGAGGUAAAUUUUUUUAAAUUAAUGCCACCAUUUUCUUAAAAAAAAAUUAUCUAUCUAAGAUAAAAUUAUGCAGGAAAAUUGGAGAGUUUAAACAAACUAUUAACCAAAGGGGGGAGAUUGAAGGAUCGAUUUGUGAAGCUUAUCUUGAAAAAUAAACUGCUUAUUUUUGUUCUUACUACUUUGGGGAUGAAGUUCCAUGUAAGAGAAAUAGGUCCAACUGUAAUGAUGAAGGUGAUGGUGAUCCUAUGUUUCCACCUGUAUUGAUUUCUAACAAUUCGGGUAGAGGAUCUAAAAGUUAUUAUAUGCGAGCCCUCACUGGUAUGGAAAGAAAAUCCAUUGUGACACAUGUUCUGCUCAAUUGUCUGAAGAUUCAACCAUUUCUUGAGUAAGUGUUAAUGAUGUUAGCAAAUUAUAUUAAUUUGGUAAGGCCACUACACUAAUAAAAAAUCUUAAUGAUGUAUACUUGAUAGUUUAUUCAUUAGAAAAUGGGGUAAUGAUGCCAUAUAUACGAGGUUUCUCGAUUGGCUGAAAGAAUAUGUAAUUAUGAAAGAUCAUAUGUGCAUUUUCUAGAAUUAUAUAUAGGUCAUUUAAUAAACUUUAUAUUUUGAUUUAACGAUAUGUAGGUUUUGGAUGAACAUAGUACUGUCGUACAUUUACCAUUGGUGAGAGAUAUUAUAUUUGGUCCUGCCACUCAAAUUCGGACAAUGGAUAAAUAUUGUGUGAACGGUUUCAGGUUUUAAAUUGAGAACGUUUCUAAGUAUAAGAAAACUAAUAACAACGGCGUGUGUGUUGAAGGUGAUGUCGACGGUAAUGGUCAAAUCGUUGAAUAUUUUGGUGUCAUACAAGGGAUAUUAGAAGUAAGGUACCCUGGUUGGCCAAAAAAAGAAAAUUUUAUUUCGGUGCAAGUGAUUUGAUCCAUCAUAUAGAGGUACCAGGGUGAAUCAACAGCAUAAUAUAAUUGAAGUUAAGUACACAAGGCAAUAUAAUCGCUAUGACCCCUUUAUCAUUGUACAAAAUGCCAGGCAGGUAUAUUAUGCUACAUAUCCAUUACGCAGCGAUAAAGUGAAUUGGUGGGUGGUUGUAAACACUAAGCCUAUGGGAAGAAUUAAGAUUGAGAAUGUGUCAAAUUUGGCAUACUAGAAUAAAGUCGCAGUUGUUGAUCAAAUUGUGGAUAAUGAGGUCAAAAAUAAUCUAGAACAUCCUCAACGCAUAUUAGAAGAAGUUUAUGUUGAGGAGAUCAUUGACAUCACAAAUAUGCAGAAGAAAAAGACGAGUAAAAUGAAUCAUUUCGGGAGGAUGAAUGGGACCAUAAAAAUAAAAUAAUGGAUGAGGAAGAAUGGGAGAAUGAUUGAAAUGAAACAAGUAAUGAGGAAGACUGAGAGAAUAUAGAUAAGCUUGUUAGAUUAGUUUUUCAUUGUUCUCAUUCUUUCAGUUUCGUAUUUGUAAUCUAUUUUUAUGGCGGUAUAUGUUGAUGAGCCAGAUUACAGCGUGCUGGAUGUGAUUAUAUUUGUACGAGUAGAUAUUGAUUAGUGUUUGAUUUAUCUCAUUAGUAUUGGCGCACUAAAGACAUAAUUAAUUAAGUACUAAUUCCUAGAAACAACUGUAACCUAGGGUUUUAUGUGCUCUUUUAUAAGUUUCUUACAACAAGACUGAGGACUACACUUUUGGAUUGUGUUGAGUGUAACCACCAGUUGGAAACUUUGUGGUCGAUUUAUAUAUGUGGCUCCUAUACAUGAUUAUCUGCAAAACUUUGGGUGUUUGUGUUAUGAGGCUAAUUGAAUGUUGUAAGAGAAACCUGAACUGUUUAUAAUUUGAAAUUUAAUGUUUUAUUCAAUUAAUAGCUGAAUAGAAUUUAUAGUCAAAUUCAUAUAGAAAUUGAUAUUUCUAGUUUCAAGUCAAGUUAGAUUUUCCUACAGCUAUAAAUUAGGAUGGUGCUAGCUAUUUUUUAUGUAAUGGAAAAUUGUGGAGAUCAUUAGGAGAUUUAUGAGAUUCUGAGUAAAAUUAUUUAGAGCCUUGAUCUGACGUUUCAUAUUCUGUGCUUUGAUCGUACUUUUUAGGUGAUGUGUUUGAAUUUGCUUUUCUAAUAGAGAUGGCAGUUUAUUGAGUGACUAGUUUAGGCAUUUGUUGUAUUUUCUCUUUUUUCUAGGUUCUAGCCUGCUAUAGUUGAUAAACCAAUAUGCCUAGUAAUUAUCUUUUUAGACUAGCUGGUGCAUUAAGGCAGGGAAUUCAGAAAUUCAUUUUUGGGCAAGAAAGGGGUCUACGGGAUCUGGUGGGGAUUGAGCUCAAAAAAUACUCUUCUCAUUGACAAUUUUCAAUUGGUCUGUGGAAUAUUAUCCCUUUAUUAUUUGUUAGAUAGAAGAUGAAAACGUACAAUGCCUUUAGAAGUAUAGUAUGAAAUGAAAUGGGAAGAAGUAAAAGGUGUUUAGGUUUUGUAGUUCUCUCUCUGCAUUCUAAUAUGCACAUGUAUAUAUUUAUGUGAAAAUUAUAUUAAACUAAGAACAUAUCUACUGAAGGGCGGCAAAACCAUGUGAGUCUUUCUGUUACUACCAUAUUGUGUUACCUUUAUUUUUCUUGUGUUUUUACUGUACCAAUAAAAUUAUGUUUUAAGGUUCUCAAGAUUUUGUAUAAAAGACAAGACUUACCACAUGUUUGCAUACAGAUGACAUCCGAUGGUAGUGGUGAUUGGCAUGGUCCUGAUAAGAAUUCGAAGCCAACUACUAAAAAGAAAUUUAGGAUGCCAAUAAAUCCUGAUGAUAUAUUUGGUCGACUUUCUUCACAGACACAGAUGAACACCUCUUCAUCAGGGAAAUCUUACGUCCCAUUUGGCACUAGUAAUCCUGUAGAUUAUUAUGGUCUCAGAAAGCAGUGAAAAGUGUGCACUUCUUAUGCUCCACAUACUUUUAGGACUUCUACAGAUAUAAGGACUUCGAGGUUAUCAUCUGGUACUCCAUCCCCUCUCGAUUCAUCCCCCCACCUCUCAGGAUUGCGACUGAGAGACAACUCUGACUCCGAUGUGCAGACAUCUACUCCCCCAUUUAGUGAACCUUGGGUACUUCCGAGAGUAGCAUCUGCAUCUGGAUCUGCACCUCCACCUCCACCUGUAGCAGAUGAUACUAAUGUAUAUUUGAUUGGUCUAGUUCUUGGAGAUAAGGACGGGCUUGGUAGAGUCUUCAUCGAGCCUGAUAGAUCUACGUAAUUUUUUUUUUAUUCAUAAAUUUAUUUUUUAUUGAUAAAAUAUUCAUGCUUACAUAUUUAUUUUGUUUUUUACAGGUGGCAUCCCGCAUUAAAAGAAGUUAAUAAGGCGGUAAGGGAGAGCGUUAGGAGGAUUUUUUAAAAAUCUUGGCACAGUUGGUCGGAGAUUUCAGAAGACCAUAAACAAGCAAUGUUUGAAGAGUUCAAGGC
Molecule: long non-coding RNA, 19902 nt
Filed under: Capsicum annuum
Lineage: Eukaryota; Viridiplantae; Streptophyta; Magnoliopsida; Solanales; Solanaceae
Description: long non-coding RNA (CANN_LNC017511)
Source: RNAcentral